GACGAACGCUGGCGGCGUGCUUAACACAUGCAAGUCGAACGGAAAGACCCUGCUUUUGUGGGGUGCUCGAGUGGCGAACGGGUGAGUAACACGUGAGUAACCUGCCCUUGACUUUGGGAUAACUUCAGGAAACUGGGGCUAAUACCGGAUAGGAGCUCCUGCUGCAUGGUGGGGGUUGGAAAGUUUCGGCGGUUGGGGAUGGACUCGCGGCUUAUCCGCUUGUUGGUGGGGUAGUGGCUUACCAAGGCUUUGACGGGUAGCCGGCCUGAGAGGGUUACCGGCCACAUUGGGACUGAGAUACGGCCCAGACUCCUACGGGAGGCAGCAGUGGGGAAUAUUGCACAAUGGGCGGAAGCCUGAUGCAGCAACGCCGCGUGCGGGAUGACGGCCUUCGGGUUGUAAACCGCUUUCGCCUGUGACGAAGCGUGAGUGACGGUAAUGGGUAAAGAAGCACCGGCUAACUACGUG
Molecule: ribosomal RNA, 468 nt
Filed under: uncultured bacterium
Lineage: Bacteria
Description: partial 16S ribosomal RNA
Rfam family: Bacterial small subunit ribosomal RNA
Source: RNAcentral